This 467-nucleotide ribosomal RNA is filed under the name uncultured bacterium. RNAcentral's name for it is "partial 16S ribosomal RNA". It matches the Rfam family "Bacterial small subunit ribosomal RNA", at positions 28 to 506 of the family's 1533-position model. The record is from RNAcentral.
GACGAACGCUGGCGGCGUGCUUAACACAUGCAAGUCGAACGGAAAGGCCCUGCUUUUGUGGGGUGCUCGAGUGGCGAACGGGUGAGUAACACGUGAGUAACCUGCCCUUGACUUUGGGAUAACUUCAGGAAACUGGGGCUAAUACCGGAUAGGAGCUCCUGCUGCAUGGUGGGGGUUGGAAAGUUUCGGCGGUUGGGGAUGGACUCGCGGCUUAUCAGCUUGUUGGUGGGGUAGUGGCUUACCAAGGCUUUGACGGGUAGCCGGCCUGAGAGGGUGACCGGCCACAUUGGGACUGAGAUACGGCCCAGACUCCUACGGGAGGCAGCAGUGGGGAAUAUUGCACAAUGGGCGGAAGCCUGAUGCAGCAACGCCGCGUGCGGGAUGAAGGCCUUCGGGUGGUAAACCGCUUUCGCCUGUGACGAAGCGUGAGUGACGGUAAUGGGUAAAGAAGCACCGGCUAACUACGU